UUUACAUAUUACUCAGUACUCACUAAUGAAAUCCACAACACAUCAGUAGUGAGAUUCAAACAACGUCCUCCUGGGAUAUGUGUCGAAUCCUUAAAUGGUAGAAGGCAGUAGCAUAAAUUACCUUCCCCUUGGAGUGGUGUGUGAAAACCCUCUUGAUUGCUGAAAACCAACUCCCUUUCUUUCCCAUCUCAGUAGCAUUACUCUUUCUUCCUGUAAAGUUAAAAUCAAGAUUGUGUGAAUUCCAUAUUCUGCAAUAACAAUACAAGACUUUAUAUAAAUAUUAACACACACGCGCGCGCACACACAAGGAUAUACAACAAGAGACUAAACUAAGCUCACCAGAACAAUCGCCGGCAAGUAGGCAGCAUCACUAUAUUAUUUUC
Molecule: long non-coding RNA, 383 nt
Filed under: Trifolium pratense (red clover)
Lineage: Eukaryota; Viridiplantae; Streptophyta; Magnoliopsida; Fabales; Fabaceae
Description: long non-coding RNA (TPRA_LNC002158)
Source: RNAcentral